CAGAUGCGCAGAGGCUGUAAUGAAGAGCUCUUGAACUCGCAGUGAGAGAAGCUGUGACAGGAGUUCACGAGGAUUCCUCUUUGGUUCUGCUGGACAUUAAAAGGGACUGAUCCGUGCUGAACUGCCUGCAGAGCAACUUUCCACAGGUUGUGAUCAGUAUCAGCUCGUGGCUUCCAGCGUGUCUCUCUGUGACAGAUGCUUCCUCCCGCACCGCCACACCUGACCGCUCCCCUCCUCUCCACACAGAUGAUAUCACACCGCUGACGGAGACAAGAGUCCCAAAAGGCUCCGCUUUACAGUGAAAACAUGUCAUCUGACCAUGUCAGCCGGCUCAACCCAAAUAUUGUGCGUUGUUUGUAAAGAGAGGUCAGGCGACUUGUGAGCCGGGUAUUUCAGGCGCCGCUCUCUCUUAAUGAAGUAUUCAUGAAGCAGCCAGUGGGAGCAGAGUAUAGCCUUACACGACACUGGUGGUUCCGACGGACUCCCCCUCCUCCUCUCCCCCUCAUGUGUAAUGCUCCGCUCCCCCCCCUCCUGCCCGCAGACAGGGCCAUCAUUCCUAGUGUACUUCCAGCAAUGAUAUCAAAAAGGUUUUUUUUUUUUUUUUUGGUCAAGCCAAAGAGAGGUCAUUCUAAUAAUACCCAAGGUCAGUGGUGGGAGCCAGAGAGUCUCCCAGUCAUUAUUCAUUUGUUCCCAGAGUUAAUGACAGUUGCAGGGAGACGAGAACUUGGAGCCAGUAGCCAUGUGAUGUCACCAACACAUGCCAAGGGAUUAGGAGGGCAGGCAGGGGACAAGAAGUGUGGAUUAUACAAGUAAAAAAAUAAAAAAACCUUUACUGCUGAAGAUGUAGUGAAUAAUACAAGGCCUAUAUUAGUAUUAUUCACAUUUUUGUUUUAUUAAAGUCAAACGUAAAUGCUCUUCUGGAUGUUGUCUUACAUGUCUGCUUCUUCGCGUCUGACCGAACACGCUAAACACCGUCAUUC
Molecule: long non-coding RNA, 980 nt
Organism: Hippoglossus stenolepis (Pacific halibut)
Lineage: Eukaryota; Metazoa; Chordata; Actinopteri; Pleuronectiformes; Pleuronectidae
Exons: 3
Source: RefSeq, a predicted model, not a curated record